UAAAGGCUGAAUUUUCGCUAAAAGCUGUAUUUUCCGAUGGUCCUUGAACGCACCAAAGCCCUGCAGGUAGCCCCGUUGAAACCGAGGAAAAAGAGUUGUCGCACAUUUUAUUUGUUAGAAGCCGAGCAGACAACCUGUGCAGACCAGCACGAUUCGGGAGAAGAAUCUUAUUGAACAACUCCAGAGGUUUUUUCCUAUGAACGUUUUGUUUUUUCUUUGAACAUCCUGUCUGGUUUUUUUUUCUAUGCUGGACUCUCCUUGAAGAUCCAAGUGCACCAUCCAAGGACGGGAUUCUGUGCAGCUGAAUUCGAGAAAUCUGGACAUCUUGGAUCAGAAGGUUAAGCAGGAGCGCGGUAACGGAAUUGAAUUGAUUUUUGAGGAUCCCCUUUCUUUUUUUUUCAAUUUUUUAUCCUGAGAUCUCAGA
Long non-coding RNA from Oryzias melastigma (Indian medaka), 424 nucleotides. RefSeq lists it as uncharacterized. NCBI's taxonomy places the organism in Eukaryota, Metazoa, Chordata, Actinopteri, Beloniformes, Adrianichthyidae. The record is from RefSeq and is a predicted model, not a curated record. The transcript has 2 exons.